Molecule: long non-coding RNA, 1573 nt
Organism: Passer domesticus (house sparrow)
Lineage: Eukaryota; Metazoa; Chordata; Aves; Passeriformes; Passeridae
Exons: 2
Source: RefSeq, a predicted model, not a curated record
GCUUCCUCACGGCUUCCCUGGUGCCCUCCCCUCCCCGGCCCGGCAGCUCUUGCCCGAGCCGCACGGUCCCGCCGAGAAGCAGCUCUUGGUGCAGCCUUUGAAUCGCCCUCAUGAAGCGAAAGCCGCGGCGCAGGCCAGCCCGCGAGCAGCACCGCAGGCAGGGAUCGCUGCUUCCCCUCCUGGAGCUGCGGGACACGCUGGGCUGCAGCGUGGAAAUCGCCCCCGAAUCUCCUAAAUCCAAGCCUGACUCCCCCUCCUCCGUGUGUCGGGAGCCGGGGCAGGAUGGUGUGAGCAGCUCCAACCUCCCCUGAGCGGCCCCGCACUCCUGCAGCCCUUCCCGCACAUAAACAAGUGUCAAAGACCUGUCUGCUCGCUGUGCCUUGCGAGAGCGCUGCCCUGCACCGAGCAUCCCCCUCCUCCUUCACUUCCCCUGCCAUCCCUCUGGCAGCGGGUUUUGUCUUUUUUUAAAAACCCAGGUGCCAAACCUGUGUGAAAUUACUGAUAUUCACUGAAAUCUGGCUGAGAAGCACUCAGUACGGGAGGUCACGGUCAGUUUUGUGGCACCAUCACCCCACAGCCGCUGCCUCACCUGCAGGUGGCUGGGGCUGCUCACCGACACAGAAGGGCUGUUAAAGGCGUGUUGAGCUUCAUUUACUCAAGGGUAGAAUUAAUUUGUUUGAACUGUUUCUUUCAGAUAAAAUAAGCCCUUUAAAGGCUGCCGCUACUCUGUCAUUUUAGGCAUGUCCAUGUCCACCUGCCUUGACUUUGCUUUGGUCUGUGUGGAACUGCAGAAUGUGACAAAAUGGCAUUUGGAAAAAGAACAAGUAAACACAGGCUUAAUGAACUCACUUAUUUUGCUUCCUGUACUUAUGACUCAUAAAAUGAAAAUCCUUUAAUGUUGUAACCCAAAUAAAUUGCCAUGUUGGUUGCCUCUCGACUGUACUGCAAGUAGGGAACAAGAAGGGCUGAGAGUGAGGGAUCAGGAAAAGGUAAGGAUGUGCUCAGCUCUGAUUAAGUAACAUUAUCCUGCUUCUUUUGGUUUUGAAAGGUGGAAAAGCAAGAGGUGAUGUCUAAUGCUCCCGGGCAGCAAACAAUGGGUGGGGAACGCUGAGCUGGGUGCAGCACUUGGCAGUCUUUGGGGUGCAGUGAUGAGGUGCCAGUGCUUGAUGGUAUGGAUAGAAGGGAACACGCCUCAGCCUUGUGACACGUGGGGUUAAUGGGGCAGAGCCACACCAUGUCCCUCUGAGGGGACCUGGGUGGCACUGCCACAGCAGUGUCACAUCCCAGCUCUGGGCAGGAGAGGUUCCCUUCCUGGGCCAUCCAAUCCCUCAGCUGUUACAGCUCCUCAUAACCCACAUUUUGUGAACAACCACAACUCCCACAGUGAUGUCCAUUUCAGCCCAUUCCACACAGAAGCGGAAAAAUUUCUUCCUGAGAAGGAAUUAAUGCAAGAGAAGUGGAGAUCAGUAAAUGACUACAAUAAAAAUACCCUUCAGCUUUCCUUUUUAUUCUUCCAUAUUUUUCCAGCAGCUGCUUAAAAACUGGUAUUCAGCAAUAAAAUGACCUGAUAACA